UCGGGGCUUCAUCCUGGAGAUCAACAAUAGAUAGAGCCUCAAUUGGGGCCUUAGACAGGGACGACAACUCCACAAGACCAGGUGCAAGUAGCUUGAGCUUCAACCUGCUAUUCGAAGAGGUUGACGUCGAUGAAGGAGCUGCAAGUGACGUAGGACCAACAAUCCGGAGCGAGAGGAGGGGAGCACCCUGUGUACGAGAAGCACGGCGAAGAUGCUCAGCUAAAGUGAGAAGACCAGCAGCAAACCCAUUCUGUGUCUGGUUCAACGGCAGGGGAAAUUCAAGGGGAUGACGAAGACUCACUGAUCUCGCACCUUUGA
Molecule: long non-coding RNA, 318 nt
Filed under: Lotus japonicus
Lineage: Eukaryota; Viridiplantae; Streptophyta; Magnoliopsida; Fabales; Fabaceae
Description: long non-coding RNA (LJAP_LNC002259)
Source: RNAcentral